AAAUGCCAUAAGUAGUGUGAAUUGCAGAAUUUAGCGAAUCAUCGAAUCUUUGAACGCACAUUGCGCCCCUUGGUAUUCCAUGGGGCAUGCCUGUUCGAGCGUCAUUUCAACCCUCAAGCACUGCUUGGUGUUGGGCGUUUGUCCCGCCUACGCGCGUGGACUCGCCUCAAAGUCAUUGGCAGCUGUUCCCCUUCGGCUCGUAAGCGCAGCACAGUCGGCGCCCGGAGCUCUGGUGGGAUGGCGUCCAGCAAGCUAUAUUUUCAGGCUUGACCUCGGAUCAGGUAGGGAUACCCGCUGAACUUAAGC
Molecule: unclassified non-coding RNA, 306 nt
Filed under: plant metagenome
Description: partial contains 5.8S ribosomal RNA, internal transcribed spacer 2, and large subunit ribosomal RNA
Rfam family: 5.8S ribosomal RNA (bases 1-104)
Source: RNAcentral